GACGUUGCCACAGCUCUUCUGGAAUAACUGACUUAAAACCACUUUUUAGCUGGUAAAAAUACUAAUGUAAUUUUACAAUUACUCAUAUAUGUUUAUAUUUAUUAAUUAAUCAUACGAAGCCUAUUAAAGAAGCCAAAAUGUAUUGCAUAAUUCUCACUGAAUAGCCCGCCAGUGUAUACAUAUACAGGAUGUGGAUACUGAUGCAGAACUAAAGGGAGAUGCUGCGGGACAACAUGAUCACUAUGUGAGUCAAAUUCUUUGUAAUUAGAUCAAAUUGACCACUGGGUGUCAUAAUUUUAGAAAAGUUUGUUUGACGUUACUUGAAGAUGGUCUCAGUUUAUAUUAUUUAGUGUAAACAAGUAGGCUAGUGUUUUGUGUGCAUCUUUGUACAAAUAUAGCUAAUAUAUAUUCUGUAUUGUGCAUGAUAAGCUAGGCAAUAUGUGUUUUACCAGCAGUUUUGUUUCUGUUCUACUGUUGUUUUCUAUGCCUGUUUGUCAUUCAUGAAAUCCAAACACAUUCAAUGCCAUUUUUUCUAAUUUAAGGGGGAAAAAAGAAUAAAGAAUAUAAUAAAGAAAAUGAUUUUCAGAGAAAAUUAACUCAGCAAAAUUGUCAUCCUGGCCCCUCAGGUGUCAAUUAUAUCAGACCUUUCUGGAAAAUCACUUCUUAGAUUUUGCCACCAUGUUGUCAUGGAAAGUAUCUGACUAAACUCUAACUGUUUGGAGCCUGACGUCUCAUUUAACCUGUCCUGACACCUCCUGGAGCCAGGACUAACCACAACCCACAAGAUGGAUGGAUGAAUAAAUGAAUACAUGGAUUAGAGGAUGAAUGUGUUUCCCAUUCUCUUCCAUGUGGAUGACUCCGAACAAAAGGAGGUUCUUUUCUCUUCAUUAAGUUAAUGGAUGUACGGCUGAUGUACCUGAGCAGCAGGUAAGACAUGCACAGAUUUCAGAGCCUGAGGGGCUAAAUCAAUCUCCACACACAUGGACUCACCGGCUCCUUCCUUGUUUGUCUUUGGUCUUAUGUGACAUCUCUUUAUUACUGCUGGAUGCAGUUGGUGCUAUAGAGACAGCCCCAUGUGUUUUAGGUGGGGUUGGCAGCGCCAUUUCUAAUAAAUUACAGAUUUGUGCAAGUUCAGUGUCAGAGGAACUUCAGGAGAGGUGAUAUCAGGACUGGAAGUGAGAUUUCUCGCUGAUUCUGGAGAGUUUAGCUGUGCUGCAUCUGUCAUCCAGAUCCACAGUCACUGGAACCAGCAAUGGCUCCUCUGAGGUCUGGAGCACAGGGACUGUCUCCUGUAACUCUGUGCUGUGUGACACUGGCUGUUUGGCUGUGUUGUAGCGCUCAAACUGAGGCUUCUGUGCUCAACCUGAAGCGUUUCAUCGGCUGUGCAGUCAGAGAAUUUACCUUUCUGGCCCGUAAGCCGGGAUGCAGUGGGCUGCACAUCACCACUGAUGCCUGCUGGGGACGCUGUGAGACCUGGGAAGUAAGACUGAUAUUAUUAGCCUGUGACAAACAUAUACUCACAUAAAAAGAGAGAAGAGCUUUUGCAGCACACCAGCAAUGUGAUCAAUACUUAAUCAAAAUGAUAU
This is a long non-coding RNA of Sinocyclocheilus rhinocerous, 1586 nucleotides long. RefSeq lists it as uncharacterized. The transcript has 3 exons. The record is from RefSeq and is a predicted model, not a curated record. NCBI's taxonomy places the organism in Eukaryota, Metazoa, Chordata, Actinopteri, Cypriniformes, Cyprinidae.